GGCUGGUCCGAUGGCAGUGGGUUAUCAGAACUUAUUAACAUUAGUGUCACUAAAGUUGGUAUACCACCCCCCCCCCCUGCUAAAUUUGACUGGCUUUAA
RNAcentral lists this Y RNA (99 nucleotides) under Cavia aperea (Brazilian guinea pig). RNAcentral's name for it is "Y RNA (ENSCAPG00000004005.1)". It matches the Rfam family "Y RNA". Rfam says of the family: Y RNAs are components of the Ro ribonucleoprotein particle (Ro RNP), in association with Ro60 and La proteins. The Y RNAs and Ro60 and La proteins are well conserved, but the function of the Ro RNP is not known. Lineage: Eukaryota; Metazoa; Chordata; Mammalia; Rodentia; Caviidae. The record is from RNAcentral.